ACUCCUACGGGAGGCAGCAGUGGGGAAUAUUGCACAAUGGGCGCAAGCCUGAUGCAGCAACGCCGUGUGAGUGAAGAAGGUUUUCGGUAUCGUAAACUCUGUCCUAAGGGAAGAAACAAAUGACGGUACCUUAGGAGGAAGCCCCGGCUAACUACGUGCCAGCAGCCGCGGUAAUACGUAGGGGGCAAGCGUUAUCCGGAAUCACUGGGCGUAAAGGUGCGUAGGCGGCUUAGCAAGCCAGGGUGAAAGGCAUUGGCUCAACCAAUGUAAGCCUUUGGAACUGUUAAGCUUGAGUGCAGGAGAGGUAAGUGGAAUUCCUAGUGUAGAGGUGAAAUUCGUAGAUAUUAGGAGGAACACCAGUGGCGAAGGCGACUUACUGGACUGUAACUGACGCUGAUGCACGAAAAGCGUGGGUAGCGAACAGGAUUAGAUACCCUGGUAGCACAGAG
RNAcentral lists this ribosomal RNA (449 nucleotides) under uncultured bacterium. Its description in RNAcentral is "bacterial SSU rRNA". It matches the Rfam family "Bacterial small subunit ribosomal RNA", at positions 335 to 799 of the family's 1533-position model. The record is from RNAcentral.